This 550-nucleotide ribosomal RNA is filed under the name uncultured bacterium. RNAcentral's name for it is "bacterial SSU rRNA". It matches the Rfam family "Bacterial small subunit ribosomal RNA", at positions 355 to 896 of the family's 1533-position model. The record is from RNAcentral.
UAGGGAAUCUUCGGCAAUGGACGGAAGUCUGACCGAGCAACGCCGCGUGAGUGAAGAAGGUUUUCGGAUCGUAAAGCUCUGUUGUAAGAGAAGAACGAGUGUGAGAGUGGACAGUUCACACUGUGACGGUAUCUUACCAGAAAGGGACGGCUAACUACGUGCCAGCAGCCGCGGUAAUACGUAGGUCCCGAGCGUUGUCCGGAUUUAUUGGGCGUAAAGCGAGCGCAGGCGGUUAGAUAAGUCUGAAGUUAAAGGCUGUGGCUUAACCAUAGUACGCUUUGGAAACUGUUUAACUUGAGUGCAAGAGGGGAGAGUGGAAUUCCAUGUGUAGCGGUGAAAUGCGUAGAUAUAUGGAGGAACACCGGUGGCGAAAGCGGCUCUCUGGCUUGUAACUGACGCUGAGGCUCGAAAGCGUGGGGAGCAAACAGGAUUAGAUACCCUGGUAGUCCACGCUGUAAACGAUGAGUGCUAGGUGUUAGACCCUUUCCGGGGUUUAGUGCCGUAGCUAACGCAUUAAGCACUCCGCCUGGGGAGUACGACCGCAAGGUUG